GCGCGGGUCGCCAAGCGGCUAAGGCACAAGGCUGCAACCCUUGUAUCGUGAGUUCGAGUCUCACCCCGCGCU
RNAcentral lists this transfer RNA (72 nucleotides) under Candidatus Woesearchaeota archaeon. RNAcentral describes it as "tRNA-Cys". It matches the Rfam family "tRNA". From Rfam's summary of the family: Transfer RNA (tRNA) molecules are approximately 80 nucleotides in length. Their secondary structure includes four short double-helical elements and three loops (D, anti-codon, and T loops). Further hydrogen bonds mediate the characteristic L-shaped molecular structure. tRNAs have two regions of fundamental functional importance: the anti-codon, which is responsible for specific mRNA codon recognition, and the 3' end, to which the tRNAs corresponding amino acid is attached (by aminoacyl-tRNA synthetases). tRNAs cope with the degeneracy of the genetic code in two manners: having more than one tRNA (with a specific anti-codon) for a particular amino acid; and 'wobble' base-pairing, i.e. permitting non-standard base-pairing at the 3rd anti-codon position. The record is from RNAcentral. Lineage: Archaea; Nanobdellati; Candidatus Woesearchaeota. RNAcentral also lists the same sequence under 1 other name.